UGGUGCUUCGCAUGAUUGUACCGUCUUGUGCAAGUUACUCUUUGCAUUACCAAUCGCUUUGCCAAUAGGCUUUUGAAUCUUUUUCAAAUAAAUUUCUCGAAACUCCUCAUUGCUCAUAUCAGCAAACUUGUUCAACCCAACAACAUGCCCACCAGGAUUAUUUUUCUUUUCAACAACAUACUCCAAAUUAUUCUUAAAAUUCCUGAACCUCCUUUCUGCCUCUUCUGUAUGCUUGUAAGCCUUGCCAUGCUUAUCUUUCCAUCGUUGAAAUAACUCGAAUACCCGCUCCUCUGAAACAAACUCAUUAAAGUCAUGACCAAUGAUG
Molecule: long non-coding RNA, 325 nt
Filed under: Citrus sinensis (sweet orange)
Lineage: Eukaryota; Viridiplantae; Streptophyta; Magnoliopsida; Sapindales; Rutaceae
Description: long non-coding RNA (CSIN_LNC000531)
Source: RNAcentral